AUUGAACGCUGGCGGCAGGCUUAACACAUGCAAGUCGAGCGAGCGGCGGACGGGUGAGUAAUGUCUGUGAAACUACCUGAUGGAGGGGGAUAACUACUGGAAAAGGUAGCUACUACCGCAUACCAUCAGAUGUGCCCAGAUGGGAUUAGCUAGUAGGUGGGGUAAUGGCUCACCUAGGCGACGAUCCCUAGCUGGUCUGAGAGGAUGACCAGCCACACUGGAACUGAGACACGGUCCAGACUCCUACGGGAGGCAGCAGUGGGGAAGAUUGCACAAUGGGCGCAAGCCUGAUGCAGCCAUGCCGCGUGGAUGAAGAAGGCCUUCGGGUUGUAAAGCACUUUCAGUGAGGAGGCGGUACCAGCAGAAGAAGCACCGGCUAACUCCGUGCCAGCAGCCGCGGUAAUAC
This 406-nucleotide ribosomal RNA is filed under the name uncultured bacterium. RNAcentral describes it as "partial 16S ribosomal RNA". It matches the Rfam family "Bacterial small subunit ribosomal RNA", at positions 30 to 526 of the family's 1533-position model. The record is from RNAcentral.